Molecule: non-coding RNA, 79 nt
Organism: Myotis davidii
Lineage: Eukaryota; Metazoa; Chordata; Mammalia; Chiroptera; Vespertilionidae
Source: Rfam
GGUGGUUCUCGGGUGAUGCACCCUGGAAUUGGUGAUGCUCCCUCUUCUCUGGUUCUGGGUGCAUUACCUGAGAACCGCA